UACGUAGGUGGCAAGCGUUGUUCGGGAUAACUGGGCGUAAAGGAUGCGUAGGCGGUUAAACAAGUUAUAUGUUAAAUAUAUAGGCUUAACCUGUAGAAAGCAUAUAAAACUGUUUAACUAGAGUGCAGGAGAGGUAAGUGGAAUUCCUAGUGUAGCGGUGAAAUGCGUAGAGAUUAGGAAGAACACCAGUGGCGAAGGCGACUUACUGGACUGUAACUGACGCUGAGGCAUGAGAGCAUGGGGAGCAAACAGG
Molecule: ribosomal RNA, 253 nt
Filed under: uncultured bacterium
Lineage: Bacteria
Description: partial 16S ribosomal RNA
Rfam family: Bacterial small subunit ribosomal RNA
Source: RNAcentral